GAUGAACGCUGGCGGCGUGCCUAAUACAUGCAAGUCGAGCGAACGGACAAGAAGCUUGCUUCUCUGAUGUUAGCGGCGGACGGGUGAGUAACACGUGGAUAACCUACCUAUAAGACUGGGAUAAUUUCGGGAAACCGGAGCUAAUACCGGAUAAUAUUUUGAACCGCAUGGUUCAAAAGUGAAAGACGGUCUUGCUGUCACUUAUAGAUGGAUCCGCGCUGCAUUAGCUAGUUGGUAAGGUAACGGCUUACCAAGGCAACGAUGCAUAGCCGACCUGAGAGGGUGAUCGGCCACACUGGAACUGAGACACGGUCCAGACUCCUACGGGAGGCAGCAGUAGGGAAUCUUCCGCAAUGGGCGAAAGCCUGACGGAGCAACGCCGCGUGAGUGAUGAAGGUCUUCGGAUCGUAAAACUCUGUUAUUAGGGAAGAACAUAUGUGUAAGUAACUGUGCACAUCUUGACGGUACCUAAUCAGAAAGCCACGGCUAACUACGUG
Molecule: ribosomal RNA, 497 nt
Filed under: uncultured bacterium
Lineage: Bacteria
Description: partial 16S ribosomal RNA
Rfam family: Bacterial small subunit ribosomal RNA
Source: RNAcentral